RNAcentral lists this unclassified non-coding RNA (240 nucleotides) under soil metagenome. RNAcentral's name for it is "partial contains 5.8S ribosomal RNA, internal transcribed spacer 2, and large subunit ribosomal RNA". The record is from RNAcentral.
AAGACUAUAGACCUGCGGAGUACCUGCGGAAGGAUCAUUACAGAGUUGCAAAACUCCCAAACCAUUGUGAACGUUACCUUCUCGUUGCUUCGGCGGGCGGCCCGGGUCCUUCCCGGCGCCCCCCGGCCCCUCGCGGGCGCCCGCCGGAGGUAAACCAAACUCUUGAAUUGUAUGGCCUCUCUGAGUCUUCUGUACUGAAUAAGUCAAAACUUUUAGCAAUGGAUCUCUAGAUCGGAAGAG